UUAUGGCUUGGUCGGCCUUGGCCGAUUUC
RNAcentral lists this small RNA (29 nucleotides) under Bombyx mori (domestic silkworm). RNAcentral's name for it is "ovarian small RNA-36867". Lineage: Eukaryota; Metazoa; Arthropoda; Insecta; Lepidoptera; Bombycidae. The record is from RNAcentral.